CCUACGGGAGGCAGCAGUGGGGAAUAUUGGACAAUGGGGGGAACCCUGAUCCAGCGACGCCGCGUGAGUGAAGAAGAAGUUCGGGAUGUAAAGCUCUAUCAGCAGGGAAGAAAGAAAUGACGGUACAGGACUAAGAAGCACCGGCUAACUACGUGCCAGCAGCCGCGGUAAUACGUAGGGGGCAAGCGUUAUCCGGAUUGACUGGGUGUAAAGGGAGCGUAGACGGCGAUGCAAGUCUGAAGUGAAAGGCGGGGGCCCAACCCCCGGACUGCUUUGGAAACGGUAUGGCUGGAGUACGGGAGAGUUAAGUUGACUUCCUCUUGUAGCGGUGAACUGCGUAGAUCUUAGGAG
RNAcentral lists this ribosomal RNA (351 nucleotides) under uncultured bacterium. RNAcentral's name for it is "partial 16S ribosomal RNA". It matches the Rfam family "Bacterial small subunit ribosomal RNA", at positions 338 to 703 of the family's 1533-position model. The record is from RNAcentral.